GCUCACGGAGCUGCUUGGAACAGCGCCGGCUGCGCGGCAUCGUCUGUUACCCUUCUGCCGGCAGAUGCAAGCCUCGGGCGAGAAAGGCCACAGCUCCCCACCUGUGAAAACCAACUCUUGUUUCCAUGAAAAGAGUUUUUAAAAAAGAUCAGCAACUGAGAACAGAAGGGAGUUUCCGAGCUCUGAGAAGUUUCUCUACAGCUUCUGAGGUGAGGAUCCACCCUGCAUGAAGGAUACUGGGCCACUCAGGCCUUCUCCCACUCCGCGGCAGGAUCCUAGCGCCUGAGGACACUGGAGCCAUUCCAGCAACAAAUGGUAAGCAAGAUGGCCAGGAAGGAUGACUGACUCCCUCGCAGGCUCGGCCAGGCUUCAGGCCCUAUCUUUGGAUCUGUGUUCAUCAUGGUGAUUGUCAACUGCAAGCCUGAUUUGAUAGCCUUUCCUCUCGUGGUAUUACUCGGAGGUAAUGUGCAAGCAGAGAGACCCGGAUGCAAAUUCUGCUCUAUAGUUGACCAUUAUCUUACAAUGAUCUCAGUUUCCCAUAACACCAAUUUCUAUGUUUUCCAUUUAUAAACACCUGUAAUUCGCCUUGCUUGGCUUUGUGAUGUGUGAGUACAAUACAUUUGAUGUUAUAAUGGAAAUGUGCACUAAUAAAAUGCACCUUUAGCCAUU
This 669-nucleotide long non-coding RNA is filed under the name Homo sapiens (human). RNAcentral describes it as "HSALNT0304507". Lineage: Eukaryota; Metazoa; Chordata; Mammalia; Primates; Hominidae. The record is from RNAcentral.